RNAcentral lists this ribosomal RNA (450 nucleotides) under uncultured bacterium. RNAcentral describes it as "partial 16S ribosomal RNA". It matches the Rfam family "Bacterial small subunit ribosomal RNA", at positions 354 to 796 of the family's 1533-position model. The record is from RNAcentral.
GUGGGGAAUAUUGGACAAUGGGCGAAAGCCUGAUCCAGCCAUGCCGCGUGUGUGAAGAAGGUCUUCGGAUUGUAAUGCACUUUAAGUUGGGAGGAAGGGCAGUAAGUUAAUACCUUGCUGUUUUGACGUUACCGACAGAAUAAGCACCGGCUAACUUCGUGCCAGCAGCCGCGGUAAUACGAAGGGUGCAAGCGUUAAUCGGAAUUACUGGGCGUAAAGCGCGCGUAGGUGGUUUUGUAAGUUGGAGGUGAAAUCCCCGGGCUCAACCUGGGAACUGCCUCCAAAACUGCAUGACUAGAGUACGGUAGAGGGUAGUGGAAUUUCCUGUGUAGCGGUGAAAUGCGUAGAUAUAGGAAGGAACACCAGUGGCGAAGGCGACUACCUGGACUGAUACUGACACUGAGGUGCGAAAGCGUGGGGAGCAAACAGGAUUAGAUACCCUAGUAGUCC